GAUGAACGCUGGCGGCGUGCUUAACACAUGCAAGUCGAACGGUGAAGCUCAGCUUGCUGGGUGGAUCAGUGGCGAACGGGUGAGUAACACGUGAGCAACCUGCCCCUGACUCUGGGAUAAGCGCUGGAAACGGUGUCUAAUACUGGAUAUGUACCACGAUCGCAUGGUCUGUGGUUGGAAAGAUUUUUCGGUUGGGGAUGGGCUCGCGGCCUAUCAGCUUGUUGGUGAGGUAAUGGCUCACCAAGGCGUCGACGGGUAGCCGGCCUGAGAGGGUGACCGGCCACACUGGGACUGAGACACGGCCCAGACUCCUACGGGAGGCAGCAGUGGGGAAUAUUGCACAAUGGGCGCAAGCCUGAUGCAGCAACGCCGCGUGAGGGAUGACGGCCUUCGGGUUGUAAAGUACUUUCAGCGAGGAGGAAGGCGAUAAGGUUAAUAACCGCAGCGAUUGACGUUACCCGCAGAAGAAGCACCGGCUAACUCCGUGCCAGCAGCCGCAGUAACAC
This 506-nucleotide ribosomal RNA is filed under the name uncultured bacterium. Its description in RNAcentral is "bacterial SSU rRNA". It matches the Rfam family "Bacterial small subunit ribosomal RNA", at positions 28 to 526 of the family's 1533-position model. The record is from RNAcentral.